CUCACCCUUGAAUUUUCACACACACCUCCUCUUAAUUUUGGCAUUAAAACCUAAUCCAUAUCAGCCCAUCUAAUGCCCCAUAAGAUGCAUGGUUUAAAUAGGAAAAAGAUAGAGUUUAGGUGAGAGUCCAAACUCCUUUGGACUCUAGGAUUUUGAUAGCACCCACAACUCAGAUUUUUGCACCCACCUAUCUCACAGAAAGAAGAAUUUUAAAAGUCCUUACAUGCUAAAAAGGAGAGAGGGCGUGGGAUAUUUGUAGCGUCCAAACUUGGUUGGCAUGGGGUUAUUAUGUGGUGCAUGGAGAGGAGAGUUUAAUCCAUUCAAGACUCUUCUUUAGAUGACUGAUUUAAAUUAAUCUAAACUCUAACCAAUUCUAAUCAUAUUAGAAAUUAAUUAGAUCCAAAUAGAUUGAAAUCCAAAUUUGAUUAAGAGUUCAAACUAUUUAGAUUAGAUGUCACCUAAUUAUAGAAGGAGUCUUAGUCCUUUUGGACUCUCUCUUGGUGCUUGAGUCAAACUCAAUUUAAUCCUAAUCUAAUUAGGAUUUAGUGCACCCAUGAAGAGAAGAAUUUCUAGUCCAAAUAGAAACUCAAAUACUCUUGGUUAGAUCCUAGUCUAAUUUAGAAUUAAGUCAAAUCCAAAUCCUAAUUCAACAAGAAAUUAUUCUCCCAUGCAAUUUGAUUAUCUCAUAACCCAUCUAGGUUUGAUCACAUCAAACCCAUAUCAAGUCAAAUUGAAUCUAAUUCAACUAGACUUAAGAUAAGCCCCAUUGCUCAAUCAAAUUGAGCUAAUUAGUAAUCCAAUUGCUAAUUAGUCCUCCUAUAACUCACUAACUCUUUAGCGAAUUACUUUAUUACAACUUUUGCAUUGGAUUAAUCAUCAAUCAAAUUGAUAAUUAAAUUCUAUCACGAUUCAUAAUUAUAAUUUAACCAUUUAAUUAGUCAAAAGCCUCUUUGUGUGUGAUCUUAUAGAUUUUAUUCUAUCUAAUAGUGAGAUAUAUUAUGAUCUCUAUCACAAUAUCAUCAAAACUCUUUUCAAUAGGUUGAAAUCAUUCUAACUCUGCCAAUCAAAGAUCAUCAAUCAUCGAGAUGAUGUUUGUAGGUCUCAUAAUCCAUAAUGACAUCUAGCAGUAUGUAGUAGCAAUCCAACAAAAUAAAAGAUGUUGAACCUCUAGAUGCAGUUAACGUAUGAUACAGUCUUUCUAUCGUGAGUCUCGAUCAGAUGGCAGAUCAUGGAUAAAUCAUCAAACCUCAUUAUCGAUCAUAUGAUAGAUUC
This 1272-nucleotide long non-coding RNA is filed under the name Elaeis guineensis (African oil palm). RNAcentral describes it as "long non-coding RNA (EGUI_LNC076367)". Lineage: Eukaryota; Viridiplantae; Streptophyta; Magnoliopsida; Arecales; Arecaceae. The record is from RNAcentral.